Molecule: ribosomal RNA, 492 nt
Filed under: uncultured bacterium
Lineage: Bacteria
Description: partial 16S ribosomal RNA
Rfam family: Bacterial small subunit ribosomal RNA
Source: RNAcentral
AGUGAACGCUGGCGGUAGGCCUAACACAUGCAAGUCGAACGGCAGCACAGUAAGAGCUUGCUCUUACGGGUGGCGAGUGGCGGACGGGUGAGGAAUACAUCGGAAUCUACUUUUUCGUGGGGGAUAACGUAGGGAAACUUACGCUAAUACCGCAUACGACCUACGGGUGAAAGCAGGGGAUCUUCGGACCUUGCGCGAUUGAAUGAGCCGAUGUCGGAUUAGCUAGUUGGCGGGGUAAAGGCCCACCAAGGCGACGAUCCGCAGCUGGUCUGAGAGGAUGGUCAGCCACACUGGAACUGAAACACGCCCCAGACUCCUACGGGAGGCCGCAGUGUGGAAUAUUGGACAAUGGUCGCAAGCCUUAUCCAGCCAUACCGCGUGUGUGAAGAAGGCCUUCGGGUUGUAAAGCCCUUUUGUUGGGAAAGAAAAGCAGCAGGUUAAUACCCCGCUGUUCUGACGGUACCCAAAGAAUAAGCACCGGCUAACUUCGUG